GACCGUCCAAUUAAAAGUAAAUCAAUCUGGACACCGUUCACGAGUUAGUUAUUAUUCAGUCCAUUCUCCUAUAAAUAGAAGCUCAUUCCUUCAUUAUUUCUUACGAAUUCACUGAAACUCUAGAGAGAGAAACUAUAGAGAGAAAAAAGAAAAAUAUUCUGCUACUUCACUACUCCUAUAUCCAGUUUCUUUUACGGUAAAG
RNAcentral lists this long non-coding RNA (202 nucleotides) under Panax ginseng (ginseng). RNAcentral's name for it is "long non-coding RNA (PGIN_LNC014278)". Lineage: Eukaryota; Viridiplantae; Streptophyta; Magnoliopsida; Apiales; Araliaceae. The record is from RNAcentral.